This 1439-nucleotide long non-coding RNA is filed under the name Piliocolobus tephrosceles (Ugandan red Colobus). RNAcentral describes it as "lncRNA (ENSPTEG00000006554.1)". Lineage: Eukaryota; Metazoa; Chordata; Mammalia; Primates; Cercopithecidae. The record is from RNAcentral.
AAUAAUCAAACAUAUAGAUAGCGCAAAAACUAAAGAACGAAAUUAACAAACUAACUAACGGACGAACUAACUAACUAACUAACUAACUAGCGAGCGAACGAGCGAACGAACUAACUAGCGAACUAACGAACGAACGAACGAACAAUGGAUUAUAGAAACUUGAUUUUUAUUUUACUGUUUUUUUUCGUUAUAUUUUGUUCCCGCAGUGAAAGUAACCAAUUAUUUGAAAAUGUAACUAGCAAAGGAAAUUUAGAGUUAAUAAUAUUAUUUGAUAUAGGUAUUAAAGAUAUUAAUAAAAAGUUUUCAAGUGAUGGGCUUAGGAAUAUAGUUGAAACGAGUAAAAAAUUAUUAGUGCAUGAUAAGAAAAAUAUUAAACUAACGUAUAUUACAUACAAUAGUAACGAAGUGAAUACUAAGAUUGAGAUUGAUAAUUCAAGUUGUACCGAAUCUUAUAAUGAAAAAGAUAACAAAAAUAACGAUGUUGUUUUUAAAAAUUUUUCAAAAAUAGUAAAUAAUACUAAUUUAGAAAAGCAAAAUGACAAUUCAGCACAUUUGAAAGCUUUAAAUUAUGUUGCUAUGAGAUAUUUUAACGAUGAUUUAGAAUCAAGUAGUAGGUUAGUUGUUAUGUUUAUGAACACGGAUGGUGUUGCAGACGUAAAUAGGGUAGAUAUAGAUAUUAUAAAUCAUAUAUUUGAUUUAAAAAAAGUUACUUUAAAUAUUAUAACACAUCUUAAUUUUGUAACUUAUUGUCAAUAUUUACAUGAUGUAGGGCCAAAUACAAAUGAAUUAUAUAGAUGUAUCGGUAGACAGUCAUAUUAUAGUGACCAUGUUUUGUCUUAUUAUUUAUUCCGUUUUUAUGAUGAUAUAGCUGAUAAUGCUACAUGUCCUGAGUUUGGUCUAUUUUCAGAAUGUUCAGAAGAAUGUGAUGUAGGUUAUCAUACAUCCAAAAUGUUGUCAUUAGUUCCUAUAAAACCAGCAACUGGAGGGGUAUAUAAUAGGAUAGGUAAAAGUUGUUUUGAACAAAAAAAUGUAAUAACACAUGAAUGUUUUCAUAGAAGUUGUGACCAUUCGUUAGACGUAUGUGAUAUUCCGUUAGACAUAACACUGGUAAUAGAUGAAAAUUCGACAAUGUCACAAGAAGCGUGGUUAAAUAAUAUAAUUAAACCUAUACGUACUAUAAUCACUCAUUUAAAUGUUAGUAAAAAUCUGAUAAAUAUUGUAAUAACUACUUUUUCUUCUAAAAUAUACAAACUGUAUAAUUUUGAUGAUUUAAUAGCAAUAAAUAGAGAUAAAAUAUUAGAUUUAUUAGAUGGUCUAAGAUUUAAUUUAGGAAAUAGUACUAAAAAUGUAAAUAACGCUUUGUAUUAUGUAUAUAAAUAUAUACUUAAUAGUAAUGUACGAAGACCAAAUGCCAAUAAAGUGGUACUUGUUGUUACUUC